Small nucleolar RNA from Cyclopterus lumpus (lumpfish), 117 nucleotides. Its record names the gene U8. It matches the Rfam family "U8 small nucleolar RNA". From Rfam's summary of the family: U8 is a member of the C/D class of snoRNA which contain the C (UGAUGA) and D (CUGA) box motifs. The record is from Ensembl. Lineage: Eukaryota; Metazoa; Chordata; Actinopteri; Perciformes; Cyclopteridae.
UCUUCAGUGAGGUACAUCCUUACCUGUUACUCCAAACAAGGAGUAUCAGAUCAUGAUGAAUGGAGAACUAUGAGAUAUUAAUCAUAUCUCAUAGUUCUCCAUUCAUCAUGAUCUGAU